RNAcentral lists this ribosomal RNA (455 nucleotides) under uncultured Methylobacterium sp. Its description in RNAcentral is "partial 16S ribosomal RNA". The record is from RNAcentral. Lineage: Bacteria; Pseudomonadati; Pseudomonadota; Alphaproteobacteria; Hyphomicrobiales; Methylobacteriaceae.
CACGAAGUUAGCCGGGGCUUAUUCUUCCGGUACCGUCAUUAUCGCCCCGGACAAAAGAGCUUUACAACCCUAAGGCCUUCAUCACUCACGCGGCAUGGCUGGAUCAGGCUUGCGCCCAUUGUCCAAUAUUCCCCACUGCUGCCUCCCGUAGGAGUCUGGGCCGUGUCUCAGUCCCAGUGUGGCUGAUCAUCCUCUCAGACCAGCUACUGAUCGUCGCCUUGGUAGGCCAUUACCCCACCAACUAGCUAAUCAGACGCGGGCCGAUCCUUCGGCAGUAAACCUUUCCCCAAAAGGGCGUAUCCGGUAUUAGCGCUAGUUUCCCAGCGUUAUUCCGAACCGAAGGGUACGUUCCCACGUGUUACUCACCCGUCUGCCGCUGACACCCGAAGGUGCCCGCUCGACUUGCAUGUGUUAAGCCUGCCGCUAGCGUUCGCUCCUGAGCCAGGAUCAAACUC